This 857-nucleotide long non-coding RNA is filed under the name Androctonus crassicauda. The record is from RNAcentral. Lineage: Eukaryota; Metazoa; Arthropoda; Arachnida; Scorpiones; Buthidae.
CGGAUUGAGGGAGGGAUGGAGCGAUUCGGGAUCCAGAGUUGUCAUAAUGUUGGUUUCGGAUGAGUGUAGCAGGCUUGAAUUGCCUAAGAACUCCGAGAGGGAGGAUACACAAAGGGAGUACGCAGUGGGAAAGUUGUGACACCAUUUGGCCAGGGACUUUUCAAUGUUGUAGGUUGGAGGACACAUCUUCUCGACAGUGGGUUGGGCUGACAGGGGAUCUUUGUGUUUUGACAUAUGCGGGGACUCUGGGGCAUGCCGGGUUGACAAUUUAAGCUGUAGAGAUAUAGUCAGGUAACUUACUAUUCUUAAGGAGCCUGUUAACUUUUGCGACAAGUGCAUCCGUAGGGUUCUUAGGUAGGACUUCUGCCUUCGAAUCAUGUAUGAAUCGCAUAAUAUGGGUGUCGUAGGAACUUUUUUAAGGAGAAAAAGUUUCUUAGACUUAUCUUCUCUUGUUAUAAUUAGUUCUUGGUCUAAGAGCCAGUUAAAUAUCCAUUAUACCUUGACGUCAAUCAGCAGGGGGAUCUUGGUAAUGAGCCUUCUUCUUACUGUGUUCAUUAAUGAAAGACCAUCUUAGCCUUUCAGCAUCCAAAUAGUUAAACUGUUCAACAAGCCUUUCAAAAAUAGGUAUAUCAUCUAGUAUCUUAGGCGGUUUAAAUAAUGCACAAGCCAGGCCCUUACAGAUAAUUGUCUGCAGCUAAAAUUGUCAAUUCGGCAUGCCCUGGAGUCUUUGCAUGUGUCAAAACACAUAAAGAUCCCAUCAGCCCAACCCAUUGUCGAGAAGAUGUGUUAUCCAACUUAUAACAUUGAGGGGUCUCUGGCUGAAUGAUGUCACAACUUUCUUACACCAUACCCCCUUU